AAAUCUCCUGCCCCAUGGACAUGCCCCCCCACCCGAUGAUCAACCAGGAGACGGACGGCGAGGGCCAGAGCGACCAUGAUGUCAUCAAACGGCGCCUGCGCAGCAGAGCGGCUAAGUCCUAGCGCUGCCCUCCAGAACUUUACUGUAGAAAUGAAGCUGCUGGUGACGGAUCGUUGUUCUGAGACGCAUUUAUUGGAUCGGUUCUGUGGAGGCCGACCCGUUAACACUAACCAGCAUUUAGAAGUUCAUGUUUCACUUUAUUAACCAGCAAUGGUUCAUCUCUAAUGUGCAAUCUGCUCUAACUUCACCUCCUAGAACACUUUGUGGAGCGUUUAACGGUUCUGCUGCAAAGUCUCACUUUAACCUGAAUCAUUAUGUUCUGACGGGUCAUCCGGUCUCAUCAGAGUCCAGAGCCAUCAUGUCCAGGAAACCAUCUGUUCCCAGAACCAUGAUCCUGGCCGGGUUCUCCUCCUGGUUCCUUUGAGAAGAACCCUGCAAACCAGAUGAUUAAAGUUCUCACAUUCCUCCUCCGCACUGUGGAGAACCGUGAAUUUAGACGUUUCUGUCAGAGAUGGUAGAAAGCCUCGCCUUGCUUGACCUUCGCUGAUCUAACCAAAACAUGGAUGGACCGAUGCAUGUGGGUUCUAAGCAGGUACCGCUUACAGAGUUCUCCAAGGUGUGUUUCUCAUGGUUUGAGCUGCUGACAUGUGAUGAAGGCUCAGAUAAAGACCUCACCUUUGCACCUGGAUCCUUUACUCACCUGUAAUACAGUGAACCCUCUCUACAUCACGGUUCACCUUUCACGGUCUCACUGUUGUGUUCUGCAUUCUGAUUGGCUAAACAGUCUCUCCGCUUCUUCUCUACCUGUGUGUCAAUAACGUUGCAGUUUAAUAUUUACACGUA
Fundulus heteroclitus (mummichog) is the source of this 903-nucleotide long non-coding RNA. RefSeq lists it as uncharacterized. NCBI's taxonomy places the organism in Eukaryota, Metazoa, Chordata, Actinopteri, Cyprinodontiformes, Fundulidae. The transcript has 2 exons. The record is from RefSeq and is a predicted model, not a curated record.